GAACAAUCUUGGCAGCUCAUCAACAAAAAUUACAAAGAUCCAGAGAAGAUUAGCACGACUCCUGCACAAGGAUGACUCACAGAUUUGUGAAGGGGUCCAUAUUGGC
Stegostoma tigrinum is the source of this 106-nucleotide small nuclear RNA. Lineage: Eukaryota; Metazoa; Chordata; Chondrichthyes; Orectolobiformes; Stegostomatidae. The record is from RefSeq and is a predicted model, not a curated record.